Molecule: ribosomal RNA, 138 nt
Filed under: Triticum aestivum (bread wheat)
Lineage: Eukaryota; Viridiplantae; Streptophyta; Magnoliopsida; Poales; Poaceae
Description: partial small subunit ribosomal RNA
Source: RNAcentral
CGCUUCAAGAAGGUGUUCUCUGAGUAUGAAAGAAAGACUUACGAAAAGCUGAUCUCAGACAUCGAAGCACAGCCGAAUGAAGCUGUGCAAGCUGUGUUGAAAUCCUUUUUGCAUAAAAUCUACAGGAGGAGGAAGUAG